AACCGAAUAGGGGAGCCGGAGGGAAACCGAGUCUUAAUUGGGCGUUAAGUUGCAGGGUAUAGACCCGAAACCCGGUGAUCUAGCCAUGGGCAGGUUGAAGGUUGGGUAACACUAACUGGAGGACCGAACCGACUAAUGUUGAAAAAUUAGCGGAUGACCUGUGGCUGGGGGUGAAAGGCCAAUCAAACCGGGAGAUAGCUGGUUCUCCCCGAAAGCUAUUUAGGUAGCGCCUCGUGAAUUCAUCUCCGGGGGUAGAGCACUGUUUCGGCUAGGGGGCCAUCCCGGCUUACCAACCCGAUGCAAACUGCGAAUACCGGAGAAUGUUAUCACGGGAGACACACGGCGGGUGCUAACGUCCGUCGUGAAGAGGGAAACAACCCAGACCGCCAGCUAAGGUCCCAAAGUCAUGGUUAAGUGGGAAACGAUGUGGGAAGGCCCAGACAGCCAGGAUGUUGGCUUAGAAGCAGCCAUCAUUUAAAGAAAGCGUAAUAGCUCACUGGUCGAGUCGGCCUGCGCGGAAGAUGUAACGGGGCUAAACCAUGCACCGAAGCUGCGGCAGCGACACUGUGUGUUGUUGGGUAGGGGAGCGUUCUGUAAGCCUGUGAAGGUGUGUCGUGAGGCAUGCUGGAGGUAUCAGAAGUGCGAAUGCUGACAUAAGUAACGAUAAAGCGGGUGAAAAGCCCGCUCGCCGGAAGACCAAGGGUUCCUGUCCAACGUUAAUCGGGGCAGGGUGAGUCGACCCCUAAGGCGAGGCCGAAAGGCGUAGUCGAUGGGAAACGGGUUAAUAUUCCCGUACUUGGUGUUACUGCGAAGGGGGGACGGAGAAGGCUAUGUUGGCCGGGCGACGGUUGUCCCGGUUUAAGCGUGUAGGUGUGUGUUCCAGGUAAAUCCGGUUCACUUUAACACUGAGGCGUGACGACGAGGCACUACGGUGCUGAAGCAACAAAUGCCCUGCUUCCAGGAAAAGCCUCUAAGCAUCAGGUAACAUCAAAUCGUACCCCAAACCGACACAGGUGGUCAGGUAGAGAAUACCAAGGCGCUUGAGAGAACUCGGGUGAAGGAACUAGGCAAAAUGGUGCCGUAACUUCGGGAGAAGGCACGCUGACACGUAGGUGAAGUGAUUUACUCAUGGAGCUGAAGUCAGUCGAAGAUACCAGCUGGCUGCAACUGUUUAUUAAAAACACAGCACUGUGCAAACACGAAAGUGGACGUAUACGGUGUGACGCCUGCCCGGUGCCGGAAGGUUAAUUGAUGGGGUCAGCGCAAGCGAAGCUCCUGAUCGAAGCCCCGGUAAACGGCGGCCGUAACUAUAACGGUCCUAAGGUAGCGAAAUUCCUUGUCGGGUAAGUUCCGACCUGCACGAAUGGCGUAAUGAUGGCCAGGCUGUCUCCACCCGAGACUCAGUGAAAUUGAACUCGCUGUGAAGAUGCAGUGUACCCGCGGCAAGACGGAAAGACCCCGUGAACCUUUACUAUAGCUUGACACUGAACAUUGAGCCUUGAUGUGUAGGAUAGGUGGGAGGCUUUGAAGUGUGGACGCCAGUCUGCAUGGAGCCGACCUUGAAAUACCACCCUUUAAUGUUUGAUGUUCUAACGUGGACCCGUUACCCGGGUUGCGGACAGUGUCUGGUGGGUAGUUUGACUGGGGCGGUCUCCUCCUAAAGAGUAACGGAGGAGCACGAAGGUUGGCUAAUCCUGGUCGGACAUCAGGAGGUUAGUGCAAUGGCAUAAGCCAGCUUGACUGCGAGCGUGACGGCGCGAGCAGGUGCGAAAGCAGGUCAUAGUGAUCCGGUGGUUCUGAAUGGAAGGGCCAUCGCUCAACGGAUAAAAGGUACUCCGGGGAUAACAGGCUGAUACCGCCCAAGAGUUCAUAUCGACGGCGGUGUUUGGCACCUCGAUGUCGGCUCAUCACAUCCUGGGGCUGAAGUAGGUCCCAAGGGUAUGGCUGUUCGCCAUUUAAAGUGGUACGCGAGCUGGGUUUAGAACGUCGUGAGACAGUUCGGUCCCUAUCUGCCGUGGGCGCUGGAGAACUGAGGGGGGCUGCUCCUAGUACGAGAGGACCGGAGUGGACGCAUCACUGGUGUUCGGGUUGUCAUGCCAAUGGCACUGCCCGGUAGCUAAAUGCGGAAGAGAUAAGUGCUGAAAGCAUCUAAGCACGAAACUUGCCCCGAG
Molecule: ribosomal RNA, 2171 nt
Filed under: Salmonella enterica subsp. enterica serovar Enteritidis
Lineage: Bacteria; Pseudomonadati; Pseudomonadota; Gammaproteobacteria; Enterobacterales; Enterobacteriaceae
Description: partial 23S ribosomal RNA
Rfam family: Bacterial large subunit ribosomal RNA
Source: RNAcentral